Galeopterus variegatus (Sunda flying lemur) is the source of this 74-nucleotide non-coding RNA. Lineage: Eukaryota; Metazoa; Chordata; Mammalia; Dermoptera; Cynocephalidae. The record is from the annotation of a RefSeq genome assembly.
GGCUGGUUUGCUCAGUUGGUUAGAGCAUGGUGCUGAUAACACCAGGGUCCGGGGUUCAAUCCCCAUACCAGCCA